Long non-coding RNA from Adelges cooleyi (spruce gall adelgid), 417 nucleotides. RefSeq lists it as uncharacterized. The record is from RefSeq and is a predicted model, not a curated record. Lineage: Eukaryota; Metazoa; Arthropoda; Insecta; Hemiptera; Adelgidae. The transcript has 3 exons.
AAAUAUUUGAACAUUAUUGCAACAGCAAACACAUAAGCUUACAAGAUUACGCUGACGAUAGGAAAGAAGCAAUUACGAAAUAUUCGUUCAAUGAUUGUUUAAAAUGGUUAAGAUAUCAGGAAGAUCGGACGGUCCAAGACUACAUGAGUGUCUUAUCUGAGUCACAUAUUACCUCGGAUCAAUUUUUGAAGUAUAUGGUUAUUUCCCACCCAGAAGAUAUUGCGGUCAUCAAUAAAUACUUCGAUGAUUGUCCAGAAGCAAUGGAAAACAAAGAAAAUAUAGGUUUGAAACUAUAUAGUGAACUUGUAAAGCACUAUUGCGAAAUACAUCACCCAGAGUAUACUCUAAAAAGAUGCAUCGAUAUGAGGAAAAGUGCACUGUAACAAAAUCUAAUAUAAAAGGAACGUGUCAGCCAAA